Long non-coding RNA from Dama dama (fallow deer), 3266 nucleotides. RefSeq lists it as uncharacterized. NCBI's taxonomy places the organism in Eukaryota, Metazoa, Chordata, Mammalia, Artiodactyla, Cervidae. The transcript has 2 exons. The record is from RefSeq and is a predicted model, not a curated record.
GGUCCCCUGGUGCCCGCGUGCCCCUGGUCUGCUGGUCUCCCGUCCACGAGCCGCGGCGCCGGCAGAGACCCCCGCCCGGGGUCCCCCAGCCCCGGCGGCUUUGGAGGAUGGAACGUGGUGAGAACCCCAGCUUUUUCCCCGCCGUCGACCGCUGCCUGGAAAUUGGAUUUUCUAUUCCCCUCAAUAGAUCGUUGUAUCGUAAGGAUGUGGCCGUUGUAAGAGUUUCCUCUUUAAAGCCGUUUGUAAAUGCCGUGAGGACGGGGACCCAAUCUUGUUUUGUUUCCUGACUUAGAAUGUUGGACGCUGUACCUUGAAUAUAGUAGAAUAAUUGUUGACAGUAACGUUCUCAUCAAGGAAAUUGAUGAAGGCGUUUCACCUGCUCUGAAGAUAAAUGAGGAAGUUGAAAUGUAAGAAGCUAUGACUAACAACCCAAAACCGAGGUAGAAAAUCGAAAUAAUCAAUACUGGAGAGUGUAGGCUCCUUCCGUAGGUCUUUGCCCAGCUAAUACCCUGGACUACCAUCUCGUGCAGUUUGCAGACAUACCCCACACCCAAUUUAACUAUCACUAAUCAAAACUCACCACCUAAUAAUGUUUCCUCUAUACUAGGAUGUCAGGUAUUGUUCUAGCUCAGUUAUUUGAGCGAAAGAGUAAUUUGAACCAUGCCCCUUUCCCUUUAUUACGUUUUAGUUUUAAAAUUAUCUUUUCAUCAUUGAUUCCUACUUAGGUAUACACGGAGGUAUUUUUUCUUCUUUUUGGGCAAUUGUAAAUAGUAUUGUAUUUUUAAUUUUGGUUUUCACGUGUUCCUUGCUAGUUCCUUGACCUAUAGGUCAUUUUUAAACAUGUUUCAGCUCCCAAGUUAGUCAUGCAGCCAUUGCUUGUUGAUUUACCCAAAUAUUUUCACUCUGCCCAUUCUUUGCAUCUCUCCUUUCCUCUAAUUAAUUUUUUUUUCUGAAAGAACAUGGUUCUUUCACUGUUCUUUUUUCUCAUAAACUUUCUAUAUCAAAGUGGUUUUCUUUUGCCCUCACUGUAAAAUGAGUUCACCUCUAAGUUUAUCAGUUAUCCUUUCUCUUCCACUUUUACGUUAUUCCAUUAUCUUCUGACCUCUGGUGGUGGUCUUGUUAAGUGUGAUAUGCGACUCUUCAAGUAGGCUCUCUGGUUGCUGUUAAGAUCUUUUUCUUAAAAAAAAAAAAAAAUCUUUUUCUAUGGUAUUCAGUUUUGCUUCUCACCGUGAAAUGUCUCUUUAGAGACUUUGGGUUUUGUUUUUUUUUUAAUUAAUUUAUUUUUUUGGCUCCGCUGGGUCUUGGUUGUGGCACACAGGCAGGCCGCGUGUCAUGUGGGAUUUCAGCUCCCUGCCCAGGGAUGGAACCCACAUCCCCUGCAUUGAAAGGCAGAUUCUUAACCACUGGAUCACAAGGGAAGCCCCUAGAGCCUUAGUUUUAUUUCUUCUGUUUGUAACUCAUGUUGCUUCCUGACUCUGAGAUUUCUUACCUUUCCUGAAGUCUGGAAAAAUGUCAAGUCAUUUUAUCUUCAAGUAUUGCUUCUCUGCCAUUCUGUGUUCUGCAACUUCCCGUGAAACUUUAGGUUGGACCUCUUCAUUUUCCUUUUCCAGUCUCUCACCCUUCCUUUUGCUCCCUCGAAUUUCUUCUAAUGAGUUUCUUUCAUACAUAGUUUUAUGCAUACAAGUCUUCUGUGUUUAAUAUACAAUUUAACUCAUCUGAGUAUUUUUUGUAGGUCAUAUAUUACAAUUCAAACUCAAGAACAAGGUGUGUGGGGUUUCAGUUUGGGAAGCUGAUUAAAGUUCUGGAGGCAUACGGUGGUGACGGUUGCACACGCUACUGAACUGUAUACUUUGAAAGUGAUUAAAAUGGAGUCAGAUUUUUCUCUGGUUCACCCUGUGACAGAGUGGAGCCCCUGAAAGUAUGCCUGUUUCUUCAUGGUGAGUUAUUUCUGAGCCCCCAAAUUAGGUGUGGCUUGUGUGGGGUUUAGGUUCCUUUUUGGUUCUUCCUGAGCAUUGGAGGAUGCAAUUUAUUUAGGGCAAGCUGAAUUUUACCCGAAUCUAUUAGGCAUUACUAGGUGUUCUGAAUAUGAAACAAGUUUUUUUUUUUUUUUUUAAUGUUUAGAAGCAUUUAAAUUACCUCCCGGGGCACAGGGCAUGAGUCCCCCGGCAGGGGACUACAGGGUAAGGAAAACAGGUCAUUUUGAACCCUGGCUUCUACACACAUCAGCUCUGGGACCACGGGCAAACACUUCAUCUCUCCAAAUGUAUUUCCUCUUCUGGAAAAUGAAGAUAAAGUUGAUGUGAGGACUAUAUGAACAAAAGAUAUAAAAUGCCUAGUACAGUGCCUGCCUGGAAUGGAUUAAGUACUUAAGUUUUAGUAAAACACUGUUGUUACCUGUAGAUAGACAUAAAACCCCAUGCUUGGACCACAUCUAUUUUUGAGCCAUGAGUUUCAAAAGGAUGGUGAAAUCAAAGGUGAUCACAUGAAAUAAGCCACUGCUGUGGAGGAUAAUUCUAAGAAAGAGCUAAAGCUUGAGACAAGAUUUCAGCACAGAACUCUCAUAAGUAGGAAGGUCACCCUCAAAUGGAACAAGCAGCCUCACAAAAAGGUGAGCUGGUCACUUGAUUCAAAAUCAAAAGCCGAAGGACUGUUUAAAAGACAGACAGGAUUCCUUUACAGGGAAAAGAAAGAAAUCAGCAGUGAAGUAAAAGGAGAAAAAACCCACUUGGAUAACUGAUUUAUGACACUAAUUUAAAAAUCCCCUGAAACUAUUUGAAAGGAGAAGACAGAAGGAGACACCACAGAAAACUUCAAUAGGCCGGGAACCCUGAAGAUCAAAUGAGAUUUUUUUAGCUCAUUAGCACUGGCUCCCACUUGGUUCCACUCCAUUAAUCUGCUGUCUCUACCUGUAUUCCUGUGACUGGAUCAUCGUCUUCCUCCUUUUCUGUACAGCCAUUCCAAGGCAAACUCAAAAGUCAAAGAUAUUCCAAAGAGCCAGUCACAGCAAAGUCAGAAUUCAAUUUUAUUUCACAUUGAUAGAAACCGUGAAAAAGAUUUACAUUUUCCCAUAUUACAGCCCAGCAUUUCAACGGAAUAUUUCUUGCCAUAAGUUAGAUCUUGCUGAUUUGUGUCAGUGAAACAACAGUUUAUAUUCUUCAAGGUAAAGCAAGAUGACUUAGUAAAUGAUUGUUUAAAAACUGUGAAUCCAGACAUAAACAUAUGGCUUCAUUAUUCACAUGCUCUAUAUAGUCCAUACCAAGCCAUUU